AGAUGGGGACCUUUGGUUAUUUUUAGC
RNAcentral lists this non-coding RNA (27 nucleotides) under Mus musculus (house mouse). Lineage: Eukaryota; Metazoa; Chordata; Mammalia; Rodentia; Muridae. The record is from RNAcentral.